CGCCUGUUUAUCAAAAACAUCUCUUCUCGUUAGUUUUUGAAGUAUGGCCUGCCCACUGACCUUGAAUGUUGAAGGGCCGCGGUAUUUUGACCGUGCAAAGGUAGCAUAGUCAUUAGUUCUUUAAUUGUGAUCUGGUAUGAAUGGCUUGACGAGGUAUAAGCUGUCUUAAUUUUGAAUUGUUUAUUGAAUUUGGUCUUUGAGUUAAAAUUCUUAGAUGUUUUUAUGGGACGAGAAGACCCUAUAGAGUUUGACAUUUAUUCACGGUCUCUUUCUGUUUGUGAGGGUUCACUAGGGCUGUUUAAUAUGUUUUGUUGGGGUGAUGGGAGGGAUAUUAUUUAACCCCUCCUUUGUGUUGUUAUAUUUAUUUAUAUUUGCUUGAUCCAUUUAUUUUGAUUGUAAGAUUAAAUUACCUUAGGGAUAACAGCGUAA
Molecule: ribosomal RNA, 429 nt
Filed under: Reticulitermes flavipes (eastern subterranean termite)
Lineage: Eukaryota; Metazoa; Arthropoda; Insecta; Blattodea; Rhinotermitidae
Description: partial 16S ribosomal RNA
Rfam family: Archaeal large subunit ribosomal RNA
Source: RNAcentral